GUGGGGAAUAUUGCACAAUGGGCGCAAGCCUGAUGCAGCGACGCCGCGUGGGGGAUGACGGCCUUCGGGUUGUAAACUCCUUUCGCAACCGACGAAGCCUUUUGGUGACGGUAGGUUGAGAAGAAGCACCGGCUAACUACGUGCCAGCAGCCGCGGUAAUACGUAGGGUGCGAGCGUUGUCCGGAAUUACUGGGCGUAAAGAGCUCGUAGGUGGUUUGUCGCGUCGUUUGUGGAAUACCGCAGCUUAACUGCGGGGUUGCAGGCGAUACGGGCAUAACUUGAGUGCUGUAGGGGAGACUGGAAUUCCUGGUGUAGCGGUGGAAUGCGCAGAUAUCAGGAGGAACACCGAUGGCGAAGGCAGGUCUCUGGGCAGUAACUGACGCUGAGGAGCGAAAGCAUGGGGAGCGAACAGGAUUAGAAACCCUAGUAGUCC
Molecule: ribosomal RNA, 433 nt
Filed under: uncultured bacterium
Lineage: Bacteria
Description: bacterial SSU rRNA
Rfam family: Bacterial small subunit ribosomal RNA
Source: RNAcentral